RNAcentral lists this long non-coding RNA (359 nucleotides) under Panax ginseng (ginseng). RNAcentral's name for it is "long non-coding RNA (PGIN_LNC013665)". The record is from RNAcentral. Lineage: Eukaryota; Viridiplantae; Streptophyta; Magnoliopsida; Apiales; Araliaceae.
CCUAUCUUUGAGAUUUCUUGAGUUUACACUGUAUGAUGCCUUCGAAGAGACUUGUUAUGUGUUAAAUUUGAUUUUAUAUCAGUUAGCAUGGUUGUUGAGCACACACACGCACUAUACCAGUAAUAACAGUUUAAGACUUGAUGAUUGACUAGGAAAUUGUUGAUUGGUUUUGAUAUGAAGUAUUGUCGUGUUUGCUUGAUUGCUCUAAGGCCGAGUGAAUAGAUUUGAUUCUAUCAAAUACUGUUGGAUUCGUAGGCAUAUAGAUUAGUUGCAUUGCAUUGCAUUGCAUUGCAUUAUGUUGUGUUACUUGGGGACAAGCAACAGUUUAAGUUUGGGGGUAUUUGAUAAGUGGAUUUUAU